AGUGAACGCUGGCGGUAGGCCUAACACAUGCAAGUCGAACGGCAGCACAGUAAGAGCUUGCUCUUACGGGUGGCGAGUGGCGGACGGGUGAGGAAUACAUCGGAAUCUACUUUUUCGUGGGGGAUAACGUAGGGAAACUUACGCUAAUACCGCAUACGACCUACGGGUGAAAGCAGGGGAUCUUCGGACCUUGCGCGAUUGAAUGAGCCGAUGUCGGAUUAGCUAGUUGGCGGGGUAAAGGCCCACCAAGGCGACGAUCCGUAGCUGGGCUGAGAGGAUGAUCAGCCACACUUGAACUGAGACACGGUCCAGACUCCUACGGGAGGCAGCAGUGGGGAAUAUUGGACAAUGGGCGCAAGCCUGAUCCAGCCAUACCGCGUGGGUGAAGAAGGCCUUCGGGUUGUAAAGCCCUUUUGUUGGGAAAGAAAAGCAGCAGGUUAAUACCCCGCUGUUCUGACGGUACCCAAAGAAUAAGCACCGGCUAACUUCGUG
RNAcentral lists this ribosomal RNA (492 nucleotides) under uncultured bacterium. RNAcentral's name for it is "partial 16S ribosomal RNA". It matches the Rfam family "Bacterial small subunit ribosomal RNA", at positions 29 to 507 of the family's 1533-position model. The record is from RNAcentral.